This 212-nucleotide ribosomal RNA is filed under the name uncultured bacterium. RNAcentral's name for it is "partial 16S ribosomal RNA". It matches the Rfam family "Bacterial small subunit ribosomal RNA", at positions 568 to 776 of the family's 1533-position model. The record is from RNAcentral.
UGUGUAGGCGGAUCGUUAAGUACCUUGUGAAAUCCCACGGCUUAACCGUGGAACUGCUUGGUAUACUGGCGAUCUUGAGCCACUUAGGGGCUACCGGAACAAAUGGUGGAGCGGUGAAAUGCGUAGAUAUCAUUUGGAACGCCAAUGGUGAAAACAGGUAGCUGGGAGUGUGCUGACGCUGAGACACGAAAGGCCAGGGGAAGGCAAAACCG